RNAcentral lists this ribosomal RNA (779 nucleotides) under Polistes formosanus. Its description in RNAcentral is "partial 16S rRNA". Lineage: Eukaryota; Metazoa; Arthropoda; Insecta; Hymenoptera; Vespidae. The record is from RNAcentral.
AAUUUUUAAUUAGAAGUGAAAUAUUAAACGAUUUUAAAUAUAUCUAGUUUUUUUAGAAUUGAAUUAAAUUCAGCUUUAAAAUUUUUUGAAAUAAAUUAAAUAAAUUUAUUUAUGAAUUAAAUAUUUUAAAGUAAAUAUAUUCGGGAUAAAUUGAUUAUAUGAGUUAUAAAUUAAUUUUAAUUUAUUUUAAAAGUAAUUAUAAAAUUAUAUUUCUUUUUAAAAAAUGUUUUAAUUUAUAUUUUUAAAUUUAUAUAGUAUAAUUUAAUUUUUAUUUUAAUAAUUUAUAAAAAUUUAAUAUUAAAUUAUUUUAUUUUAAAUAUAAUGAUUAUAUAAGUAAAUAUUAAUAAAAUGAAAUAAAUAAUUAUAAAAUUUUAAAAUUUAGAUUUAAGGAAUUAGGCAAAUAUUUUUAAAAUAAAAUUUAUAUUUACCUGUUUAUCAAAAACAUGUCUUAUUGAUUUAAAUAAUAAGUUUAUUCUGCCCAUUGAAAUAGAAAUUUUAAAAGGCUGCAGUAUAUUAACUGUACAAAGGUAGCAAAAUAAAUAGUUUUUUAAUUGAAAACUUGAAUGAAAGAAUUAAUAAAAUAUAUUCUGUCUCAAAUUUAAUUGAUUUAUUAAAUUUAAAUAAAAAGUUAAAAUGCUUUUAUAAUUUUAUUAGACGAUAAGACCCUAAGAAUUUAAUAAUUUUAUUUUAUUAAUUAAAUUUUAUAAUUAAUUAAUUAAUAAAAUAAAAUUUUUUUAUUGGGAGGGUAAUUAAAUUUUUAAACUUUAAUUUUUAAUAAA